GGGGUAAGAAGGUCUAAUUUUGAUUUCUAAUCAAAAAUUAAAGCGAUUAAAUUUCGCUUUUACUCCU
This 67-nucleotide transfer RNA is filed under the name Halipeurus diversus. RNAcentral describes it as "tRNA-Ser". Lineage: Eukaryota; Metazoa; Arthropoda; Insecta; Psocodea; Philopteridae. The record is from RNAcentral.